UUCUUUAUCACCGAGUGCUUGCACUCACCGAUAAAGAGUUGAGUGGCGAACGGGUGAGUAACACGUGGGCAACCUGCCCAAAAGAGGGGGAUAACACUUGGAAACAGGUGCUAAUACCGCAUAACCAUAGUUACCGCAUGGUAACUAUGUAAAAGGUGGCUAUGCUACCGCUUUUGGAUGGGCCCGCGGCGCAUUAGCUAGUUGGUGGGGUAAAGGCUUACCAAGGCAAUGAUGCGUAGCCGAACUGAGAGGUUGAUCGGCCACAUUGGGACUGAGACACGGCCCAAACUCCUACGGGAGGCAGCAGUAGGGAAUCUUCCACAAUGGGCGAAAGCCUGAUGGAGCAACGCCGCGUGGGUGAAGAAGGUCUUCGGAUCGUAAAACCCUGUUGUUAGAGAAGAAAGUGCGUGAGAGUAACUGUUCACGUUUCGACGGUAUCUAACCAGAAAGCCACGGCUAACUACGUGCCAGCAGCCGCGGUAAUACGUAGGUGGCAAGCGUUAUCCGGAUUUAUUGGGCGUAAAGGGAACGCAGGCGGUCUUUUAAGUCUGAUGUGAAAGCCUUCGGCUUAACCGGAGUAGUGCAUUGGAAACUGGGAGACUUGAGUGCAGAAGAGGAGAGUGGAACUCCAUGUGUAGCGGUGAAAUGCGUAGAUAUAUGGAAGAACACCAGUGGCGAAAGCGGCUCUCUGGUCUGUAACUGACGCUGAGGUUCGAAAGCGUGGGUAGCAAACAGGAUUAGAUACCCUGGUAGUCCACGCCGUAAACGAUGAAUGCUAAGUGUUGG
RNAcentral lists this ribosomal RNA (786 nucleotides) under uncultured bacterium. RNAcentral's name for it is "bacterial SSU rRNA". It matches the Rfam family "Bacterial small subunit ribosomal RNA", at positions 71 to 826 of the family's 1533-position model. The record is from RNAcentral.